This is a long non-coding RNA of Vigna unguiculata (cowpea), 727 nucleotides long. RefSeq lists it as uncharacterized. Lineage: Eukaryota; Viridiplantae; Streptophyta; Magnoliopsida; Fabales; Fabaceae. The record is from RefSeq and is a predicted model, not a curated record.
UUCUCCAACUAUGAGUUUUCACAUUUGUGGUUCGCGUUGGCACUUCUCCUGCUCUCGUUGGUCCAACACUAGAGGUGAUUGUUUCUACAUUUCUUUUGGCCUGAGCUUUCACAUUUGUGGUUCACAUUCGCAUUUCUCGUGCUCUAGUCGGUCCAAUGAUGGAGGUGAGGAAUCGCAUCAAAGUUACCCUUAUUCUGCUGAUGAUGGUGCCACAAUGAGCUUUGGGUGAAUAUUCAUUGGUGGAGGUGAUUCCAUUUAAGGUGAGUGCCCAUGGUGCAGAAAAAAUAACUUCAUGUUCUGGUUUUGUUAAUUUAGAAGUGAGUUCCCAUGAACCAGUCUUGGGAUAGUCAUAAUAUCCAAACAUCCUAAGGGAAGAAAAAAGAGAAACAAGACUAAAGCUAAGGAAAAGGUCUUUGGUUCAGAAAAAAAAACAAGACGUGAAUUCAGGUGAUCAUGUUGAUGCUUAGCAACAAAGCGGGGCUACCGAUGGGGGAUUUUCUUUAUGCUAUGCUUUCCUACCUUUUGUAAUAGACAUUAUGAUGUUUUAUCCAUUAUGAUGUUUUAUCCAUUAUGAACUUGUAAUAAAGAUGAGACAGUACAAAUGGAUUAUAGCGAGACAAGUUUGAAAUUUCCCGCGCUUGGGAAUUUAUCGUAAUGUUUGAUUUUCUUAAAGUAUAUUUCGUGAAAAAUCAGUUUUAUCUAGUAAUAUCCGUUUGGGGUGUUACAC